GUCGAGUGACGUGAUCGAGUGUUGGUCAGGAGAUACUCGACUUCCAGGUUGAGUGAAGAGGUCGAGUGGUUGUCUGAUGAUGGAGGUGAAGACACUCGACCUCAUGGUCGAGUGAAGUGAUCGAGUGAUGGUCUGGUGAUGGAGAUGAGGGCACUCGACCUCGGGCUCGAGUGGUGAAGUGAAGUGGUGAUGUCCUCUACUCGACCUGGUGGUCGAGUGGUCUCUUGAGAUCUUGAAGCUCCUACUCGACCUCUGGGUCGAGUGGUUUGUCAUGAUCAGGUCCGCUUCUUCCAGAUAGCUCGUCAACAGCUCCAAAUCACCUGAAAUCAACGCAAAUAUGCAACAUGCAUGCAAAACUAUCCUCAACAUGCAAAGUGAUGACAAAUGAUGUGAAAUGGUAUAAAACA
Molecule: small RNA, 407 nt
Filed under: Arabidopsis thaliana (thale cress)
Lineage: Eukaryota; Viridiplantae; Streptophyta; Magnoliopsida; Brassicales; Brassicaceae
Description: ATSL204040
Source: RNAcentral